CCUGCUCCUAGAGGCAUUGCAGUUUGGCUGAUGUUUCCAGCGUGCACCAGCAGGUGGUAGAGAGGAGAAAGGCUGUGUUUAUGCUCAGUGUUCUGAUCUCGGAAUAUUUGCAUGAUUAGUAGCCUAACAUU
Molecule: small nucleolar RNA, 131 nt
Organism: Psammomys obesus (fat sand rat)
Lineage: Eukaryota; Metazoa; Chordata; Mammalia; Rodentia; Muridae
Product: small nucleolar RNA SNORA17
Exons: 1
Source: RefSeq, a predicted model, not a curated record